Molecule: ribosomal RNA, 497 nt
Filed under: uncultured bacterium
Lineage: Bacteria
Description: partial 16S ribosomal RNA
Rfam family: Bacterial small subunit ribosomal RNA
Source: RNAcentral
GAUGAACGCUGGCGGCGUGCCUAAUACAUGCAAGUCGAGCGAACAGACGAGGAGCUUGCUCCUCUGACGUUAGCGGCGGACGGGUGAGUAACACGUGGAUAACCUACCUAUAAGACUGGGAUAACUUCGGGAAACCGGAGCUAAUACCGGAUAAUAUAUUGUACCGCAUGGUUCAAUAGUGAAAGACGGUUUUGCUGUCACUUAUAGAUGGAUCCGCGCCGCAUUAGCUAGUUGGUAAGGUAACGGCUUACCAAGGCAACGAUGCGUAGCCGACCUGAGAGGGUGAUCGGCCACACUGGAACUGAGACACGGUCCAGACUCCUACGGGAGGCAGCAGUAGGGAAUCUUCCGCAAUGGGCGAAAGCCUGACGGAGCAACGCCGCGUGAGUGAUGAAGGUCUUCGGAUCGUAAAACUCUGUUAUUAGGGAAGAACAAAUGUGUAAGUAACUAUGCACGUCUUGACGGUACCUAAUCAGAAAGCCACGGCUAACUACGUG